GCUUACGGCCAUACCAGCUGAAGAACGCCCGAUCUCGUCUGAUCUCGGAAGCUAAGAAGGCUUGGGCCUGGUUAGUACUUGCAUGGGAGACUACCUGGGAAUACCAGGUGCUGUAAGCU
Molecule: ribosomal RNA, 119 nt
Organism: Denticeps clupeoides (denticle herring)
Lineage: Eukaryota; Metazoa; Chordata; Actinopteri; Clupeiformes; Denticipitidae
Source: Ensembl